RNAcentral lists this long non-coding RNA (267 nucleotides) under Dasypus novemcinctus (nine-banded armadillo). RNAcentral's name for it is "lncRNA (ENSDNOG00000051986.1)". The record is from RNAcentral. Lineage: Eukaryota; Metazoa; Chordata; Mammalia; Cingulata; Dasypodidae.
GCUCCCCUGGUGACCUGGCUGCCCCCGGCCUGCUCCUGCUCUUGGCACGCGGGGGAACUUUUCUACCCACGAUCAAACCAGCCGCCUGAGAGCCGAGCACCUCGGCUGCGCAGCCAGGUGACUGCUCCACCUGGGUCAAGUGUUCGUGAUCCUACCUGCCCGGGAAGGUUUCAAGACAGUUCUAUUCUGGGCAGCUUGCUAUGUGGGAAAACUGACACGGUGGAGCAAGUGACCUGUUAAGACCAAAAAAUAAAUGAACAGUGUUAG